RNAcentral lists this long non-coding RNA (1060 nucleotides) under Sorghum bicolor (sorghum). RNAcentral's name for it is "long non-coding RNA (SBIC_LNC000332)". The record is from RNAcentral. Lineage: Eukaryota; Viridiplantae; Streptophyta; Magnoliopsida; Poales; Poaceae.
GGAAGGUUGAGCUGCUGUUUAUCUGUUCCUAGAGAUGCUAGAAUUCUGGAGAAUUUUACCUUUGAAAAUCUUUAAAAUGUUGCAUGAUGAGUUCCUGUAUGAUGAGAGCUUAAAUUCCUACCACAGCCAUAUAUACAUGCUUGUUAGACUUUGAGCCACACAUUUACUAUUUACUACUUAUGAGCAUUGAGUGUGGUCAAGCUGUGUAGACCCUUAGGAGCUUGUCAUGUGGUUAAAUCAAGAUUUCACUUGCACGUUCACUCAUAUAUGCUACUUCUACUCCGGAAGUACCAUCCACAUAUAUCCACCCAUUCCAUCUCCAGAACCACCCAAAAAUAUUCUACUCCUAAUCUGGGAGAGAAUAACCAAAAAUAUUUCUGUUUUCUCCUUGUGAAAUAAAUGCUCAAGUUAUCUUGUUACUACCACUUGCUAUAUUAUCUCAAGAGAUGAAUGCUCUGAAAAAAAAAGAGAGAAGAAAUACGAGGAAAUAAAAAGGAGCAAGUGCUCGGAACCUCGAAAGAAAAGAAAAAGUGAGAUGAGAGGUAAAAAUGGACAAGUGUCCGACAGUAGAAUUAGGGGUGCAAGAUACCCACCUGAGAGAAAAGAAAAAGAAGAGCAUCUCAUUCUUCUCAUAAAUUCAAAAAGCAAGGAAGGUAUGUAUCCCCUCAAAGAGCAAAAGUAGAAUUAGACUUCCACCACCAUUGUUUUCACCAUUGUUAUCACUAUCAUCACCAUACAUCAUUCAUCCGCCACACAUGCACAUCUUGAUUUGGCUUAUUGAUUUGUUACUUUGGAUCCAUGGUUUGACUAUACAAUACAUGUCUUGUAAGUAUGUAUACUUUAUCUCCCACCUAUGAGCUCCAGAUAUUAAAGCCUUAUUAGAGUAGGGUGAGAGAGAAGGCAAUGUCACUAUGCCUCAUACCACAAAUACCACAUAUAUUGAGAGAAGGCAUAUACCAUCACUGCCUUGGUAAGGAUCCAGAAAUACCACAAAAGAGAGACCUGAGAGAAUCAUACAAGGAAUUUCUGAGUUUUAUUUGAAAAUCUGCAAAAACCCCAG